Molecule: ribosomal RNA, 253 nt
Filed under: uncultured bacterium
Lineage: Bacteria
Description: partial 16S ribosomal RNA
Rfam family: Bacterial small subunit ribosomal RNA
Source: RNAcentral
UACGGAGGGAGCUAGCGUUAUUCGGAAUUACUGGGCGUAAAGCGUACGUAGGCGGCUUUGUAAGUUAGAGGUGAAAGCCUGGAGCUCAACUCCAGAACUGCCUUUAAGACUGCAUCGCUUGAAUCCAGGAGAGGUGAGUGGAAUUCCGAGUGUAGAGGUGAAAUUCGUAGAUAUUCGGAAGAACACCAGAGGCGAAGGCGGCUCACUGGACUGGUAUUGACGCUGAGGUACGAAAGCGUGGGGAGCAAACAGG